UGCUCCCACAAAGCUCCCACAAAGACAUUUCAAGUAUGCAUUUGGUUUCCAGGAGGGUGGCAUCAUAUAAUAGGGGGAGUGCAAAGCAUCCCAUGGUUUCACCCCACUGCACAGUCAAGUGGGAGAGGGUUUCCCACCCUACAGACCCAGCCCAGGGAUGGGGAUUCUAUGUUUGAUACACCCCCAGCAUCAGUGACAUCAGUUUAUAUGGUAGCUGUGCUUUGCUUCAGUCAGGUCUACUUGUUCCACGCUGUCUUGCCUCCAGAGGGGUAGAUGUGUGUCAUUUUCCUUUCACAGGAUGCUGCACAGCCUUAUCUAAAUAUAAACAACCUGGGAAAACAUGGGGGAUUAUUGUCUGGGUAAAAAAAAGUAAAGCAAACAGAUCUUAAAUGUGUUUUCCCCCGCCAUUUCUAGGACAGCAACAAUUUGGGAUCAGUCUCCCAAGUUCCCAAAAAAUGUUACUCAUCUGUCAGCAAAAACAUCCCGUGAAGCCUGACGUGGAGUAGCCCAAGCAUGCCUGGCUGCCCCUCCCUAAAAGGCCAAGAUCCCCAAGCAUUUGAGAAGAUGUUGUAGGAGUAAUGGAAACAAACAGCCUCCAAGAUAAAUCUCACAGCCAGCAGCUGAGCUUGGCAUCAUUCCCUUGGGAAAUAUGAAGAGCAAUGGGCAGACAUCUCAGCACAUCCCUCAGUGUGCAUUCUAGAGCUAACAUUGCCAAUUGCCCAGGGUUUGCUGCAGCCUCCUGAAAGGCUGCAAAGAUGUACUCCAGCCUCACAGUCCCAGCUCUUCCCCUGCACUGCAGUGUCCAUCAGGCUGAGUCUGGAGAAGCAAUAGCUAGGCCAAAGCCAAUACCUCGGGCAAGAGCAGUGCUAGGAGAGAAGAGCUGAGCUGACAGCACAAGUGUUGAACAGGGAGCAGCUGAUUUGAGCCCCAGCUCUAAGUCUUGACAUGGGCAGAGAAAUGCCAGGCUGACAGGAAUGCCAUCACUCAGAGAAAGGGGGAUCACAGGAUGUGCAAGAUGCCCUGCUCCACGUCAUUGCCUUCCUCUCAGCCUAUAUCUCCCCAUCCCUGGGGCCCACAGCAGGAAGAGCAAAGCCUGGCUACAAGUUUUACAUCCUAGAUGUCCUUCCCAACACCUCUAUGUUUUUCUCCACCACCAUCUCCUUGCCAGGAAGCUCAGAGGCUUGUCAGGCCCAAUGUGCUCUGGUGUUUUACAGCCAAGCAGUGUGCAGUUAAAUCAGGCCUGGUUCUGCCUCAGCCCCUCCUCACCACCGUGAGUGCUGAUGUAAGUGUAGCCAGUACUCAGUUUAACAGCUGAUAGAGUCAAUUAGCAUGGCUAAUCACAUGAACCAUCACUACAUUACCAACAGUUAAUGACACCUUGUGAAAUUCUUGCGUAAUAACCUUAGAAAGAACAGGUAUUCAGCCCUGACAGUACUGCAUGGCAAUUGCAAAGGUCUUCAGGUAUUUAUGACCAUUAUUUAAAAGAAAAUAUAAUCUAAAAUGUAUGUUUCCCCCAAUUACUCUGCUCUAGAGAGUACUAAAAGCAGUACCCUGACUCAGCCUAUCACAUAAACAUCCUGCUGCCCCCGAGCAGCCUGAUACUGUCUUCCUCCCAGGAUGAGGAGCUGAAUAAUAAGUGACAAUCACAGCUCCUGCUGCAGGAAAACAGGAAGCUCGAGUUGUACAACCCCUCUAAACACUGUCCUACCUGCUCCACUCCUCAAACGCAACACAAACUUUUUCCUCUCCUCUUUCCUUUCCUGUGGUUUAACAGGAGCACUGGAUGUAAGUUCUGGAAGAUACGGAUACAGACCUAGUGCACCCCUGUCUGGUGGAAGCAAAGCAGGGAAGCAUCCCAAAUGCUUCCCACCAAGAGACAUUCAUACUUGAAGCUGCCAAAAAUGGAUAUAUAAUAUAUAUAGUGGAUCUAUAACUCUUAAAUUACCAGAAGUCUAAAGGAGCUGGUGUUGUCAAAGUACUCCAGCUCAAGGUGGUGAAGUGCUAAACCUUGUCCUGAGCUGCCCCAUGCAAUUAGGGCAGUUUCAUGAGUGUGCAUUGUGACCUGCAAUAAGUCUGUUCCCCUCGUGGCCAAGUGUAAAAGACUCAUCCCACUCCAAGCAAUGCUCUGGGAGCAGGGCAGCUUGUUUUCCAUGGCUGCUGCCACAUUUCUGCAGUGACUGGUCCAACUUCACACUAUUUGCUGCUCUGAGAUGAGCAAAAUUUGGAUGUCGUCUCCAAGUUUCCAAAUGGUAGCCUUUCAAACAAGAAGCAGGAGAAAAAGAAGGCUUCCAUUCUGCUUUUCCUUUAUCCCCAAGGUAAAAAUAUCCCUUGCUGAAUACAGCAGUAUUUGUCAUCACCUAGAAAAUCUCACUUUCCCACAAGCAUGCAGUGGGACCUGCCUUCCUCCGCUCACAUGUGCGUGCCACGAAGGCCGGCAUCAGGAGGAACAGUGCUUCGGGUAGGUCAUGGUCACACAAAACAAUGCUCUGCAAAAUUCUGAAGUGUGGGAGGAAUGUGAGAAGGCUCAGGACAAGGAUGUUUAUUGACACAGAAGAAUAUCUCCAAAGGGUUUGAGUCCUAUGAGAAAAAAAGUGAGCCCAAGGCAACACAGCUUGAGCAACUGGUUAGGCUAAAUCUGGAAAUCCUUACUCAGGUGAUCUUUUUACUUGUUUAAAGUAUCAGAAAACUUUUUUCUCACGUUUAUAGCAGUAGGAGUUUUCCUAAAUAAAGAUUUACAGGUGAAGCUUCAAAUGAAUUCCUUAAUUCCCUUGUACAGCUCUGUUUCAUAGCAGGAUGAGUUUUCCUGUCUGGCUCAAACUCCAGUCUGAAAACAAUGCUGCCCUCUACAACAUGGGGCAGGAAGCCUUUCAGAUUGAGGUCUGUUGGCCACCUCUAAGAGGUCUAUGGAAGAUGAAUGAGGAAAGCCCACCUCUAAGUUUCAAUCUGAAGUGUCAGCAGACAUUUGAGAAAGGUUUCCAGCACCAACACAAAUAUCCAAAACAGAAAUACCUUGGGGACAAAAAGUCACUGUACUAAGCAUAUAAAUAGCAAGCCCGAGUUAGAGAGAGAGACAAGAGGCUCCUUUCUUCUCUCUGUCCCGUCCCAUACCUACCUUCACAGCAGUCUCAGUUGUAUGCAAGAGGCAGCUCUGCAGCUGCUGGAAUAACGCAAGAUUAAUGCUGCUGUGCAUGUGGUCUGCUGCUGGUGAGGAAAAAGCCACCAAAUGUCUUUUUUGCAGGCUUCUGAAUGGUGCUAGGAUGCUUACACCAACCCUUGGAUCUAGGAGUGAGCACAUAGCUGCAGAAUUGCAAGCACCAUUUGUGUCCUGUGCUCCUCUUAGGAGAUCCAUACUAACAAACCUUUAUGAGCACUCUUGUUCUUCAUGCAUUCAGAAAGGUAGAACACUUUCUCCAGAGAACAUUGCUUUACUUUUGCCUUGUGACUGCAUGCAUGACAAGUCUGCUUAAAAAUAAACUGCCCUUCUCUCAAGCACUUUCACUCACCAGGGCUGCAGCUGGGGCAGUCCCUGCCGAAACGCUGUGGCUUAGUGCAGGAAGACAAGUGCAACUGCCAGCUGUUAGCUAAGAGAACAUGGGUCUUUCCUUCUGCCCUUCUGUUUCGUAAUCUUACUGCAAACCUUGCUGUUCUGUCUACCCAUUGCACCAGGAGGAGCGCACAUAACAGCUGAGUAUAAAUGCACCUUUUCAGCUGGGAAGGAAGACGACGGCCUUUCCUCUCUGGCCCUGCACACUGACUCCCCAGCAUCAGGUUAUGCUGUGCUACUGAGUUGUGGGGGACAGCUUGCAGGGACACAAGGCCUGAUGUCCUGAGCAAGAGAUAUGGGGAUCCCAGAGCUCCCUCUGUUGGGAAAAACUCAGCUCCAUUUUCCCAAAGAAGGCAAAUGCACCCAUGGCACCUCCAGAGUGCCGCAGCCCCUUUCCUAUUCAUCUUCAUGGAAUCAUAGAACCACUUGCGCUGGAAGGGACUCUUGAAGGCUACCUGGUCCAACUCCCCUGCAAUGAACAGAAACAGCUAUGGGCAGGUCAGAGCCCCAUCCAGCCUCAUCUUGGAUGUCAUCUUCACAGGUCAGGCUUCCCGGGGAAGGGGAGAAAGAGAAGGUGCGCCUGUGCGUGUUCCCCUUUUAGCAUGGCAGGAUGUGCAGCCCUGCACUCACCUGUACAACCCUUCUCCCGAGCUGUGCAGUUCCCUAUAGCCAGUGCUGCCAACACCCCAAACAGCAUUUCACCAAGCAGCUAUACUGAUGGAGAAUGACACAUCUGUGGAUGUCUCACCCCAUCUGGCUCUGCAUGGAGAUGCCGGCAUGUGGCUCCUUUCUGAUGGGGACUGCAGUGAUGUGGAUGGUUCAAACGUUGAUUUAAUAAGCUGAUUUAUUCUCGUAAAUACAAAGCAGAAGUGUGUUUGUGCUGUGUGUUCCCUGCCCCUUAGCCAAACAGCUGCCCAAACAGUACUUUAACCCAGGCUCUGGGCGUGUUUUGCUUUAAAUCAACAUAGGAAGCUCCUGACACCCGUCCUCCAUGUCUGCCCCCGCUCAGUGUUGAGGUCCCAGUACGGCUCUGCCAUGCGUUUCCUUCUCCGCAUCGUCAUUGUAGCCACCUUGGGCAUCAUCAUCCUUGUGACCUGGAGGCUUCUCUGGACCCCAGGAGAUCUUCUGCAGCAAUUCAUAGAAGGACAGAAGAAAUUGCUGUCUCAUUGAUGGGCUCCAUAUAAGCCAUAUCUUGAGUCCCAGCCCCAAUCUGACAGGCUGAGAAGACAAAGGCUCCCUUUCCCUUUGGCCACUACUAAGAAAACAUCUCUCAGAAAACGUCGCUUUCAAAGAAGUCUCAUUUCAGUGAUAGUAGAGCUCUGCACCUCGUUAAAUCCUGCGGCAGCAUCACUGGAGUUGCAUUAUACUGACACCUAGAGUUAGCAAAGGAACAGUACUGCAUUGCUAGGUAAGGAUGUGCAGAUGUCUAAUGAGACAUCUCAGUAUAUCAGACAUCCCUGUGUUUAUUACCUUUAUUUGCAGAACAACGUCUUUGUGAUUGCUAGUGCACAAAAUACAUAAGUUCUUUGUAACUAGUUUCCUCUGCAUUCACAACCCUGUGCCUGUUGCACAGUUAACUGUGGAUCAAACUGGUUUUCAUAGCCAGCCUAAAAUUUCUCACUGGGUACCCAAUUAAAAUCUGCAAAUGCACAAGCUAAAGAGGAUUAAUGGUUCAUUUAGAAAAGUCUGAGAGCAGUGUGAUCUCUAACACGGUGAAAUUAGUAAUACUGCUUCACAUACCUGUCCUAUAUCCAUGGCUGGAUUCAGUCUGGUGCCAGAAUCCAUAACAAUGCAUGAAUGUACUGAGAGACAGAAAUAAAGAAUAAAUCAGCACGGCUGAUGAAACUGGUGCAUUGUGGUUUCAUAUAAGGAGGAGUAAUAUAUCUAUCCACCACUACCCACUCUUGGCCAGUGCUCAACAACUUACGUCAAGCUCAAUUGCUCAUGCUAUCUUUUAAACUGAGUUCAUCCCUAAUGUAAAACAAAAUAACUCACUGCAGUUUCCCCUGGAGAUCGAUCGGAACCAGCACAGAUUGGGUCCAAGCUGCCAGGAGCAAUGCUCUGUACCUGAGCAUAACCCAUUAGGGCAUAAGGUCAGAUUCUAAUGAAUUGUCUUAUUUCUUCAUCCUUUCUAAAAGAUUCCAGCGCUAUUUUUAUUUAAUUUUGAUACAUUGCUGUUCCUUUCUGCUAAGGCAGUGCUGCUAUCUCUCACAUAAGUAAAUCCCAUAACUAGGAAAUGGACAGAAGGCCACACUGGACCAAUGGUAGAGCUAGGGACAGGCUGACAGCCAGUGCUCACUUUCUUUUAAUGUUUUCUUUAUCCAAACAGGGGGCCAUUUCCCUGCUGACCACCUCAUCUUGUGGUCACCUGUCAGGCAAUCCAUCUCAACCUCAGAGCAAGCAGAACCGUAACUGAAGUAGCAGAAUGGCUUCUCUUUGUUAGUUUGAAGUAGUAGCCAAGGUCAGGAAUUUUAGACAGGAAAAACAAACAACAAAAUCAGAUUUCAUUCCACAAACAGUCAAAAGAAAUACCACCACAUCACAACUUAUAAAAAUCUUAAUGCUCUUAUGUUUUAUCCCCUCCAUCAAGCCCACGCAGAAAUGAAAAGCAUGAAAAGCUAUAAGUAGAAAUCUGAUAAAACUGCCCUAUAUUCCCAAACCCAAUUGAAACUAUUUCAGUCAUUUUUAUUUUCCAGUGAAUCUCAGGGCUGAUGGUGGCUAUUAUGGACUCACUCCUACAAGUCCAGUAGCAAAUCCUUUGCUUUUUUGAAUGCAGUUAAAUAUUUCUUGGAGGUCAUGUGUAAUGUUUCUAGGUAGGAAAGGAGACGUAGCCCUGAAACAAACGGACUGGGGCUAUAAAUCCUCCCAGAAUCUCCCUGGAUGCAGUCAAUGCAACUGAAUAAGAACUGCCUCUGCAGUAUGAAUACUCACUCAUUCUAUAGAAUCCAACCCCAUUGCUGACAGGCUAACACGGAUCUCACAGGCAAUUUUAAUCUGGCAUGGUGAAUAAGAAUUUGAAAACAAUUAGACUUCUCUCUGACCAGGACUGGAGCCUAUCUACAGAAAUAUAGGUAACCACUUCAGACUUAUUUGGUAAAGUUUGUCAUAGGCAGGCCCCAGGAUCAGUCAUAACUUGGGAUUUGUAGACAAGUCCUUGCAAGCUUUGUCUGUUUCACUUGCUCUCUUGCCUCAAACCUCUGCUAAUAAGAUGCAGAAAGAUAUAUCUGCAUUCAGGGGGUGCCAAUGAAAACAGUCUGACAAUGCUCAUUUGUCUGGUGAGACAGAUUACUUACCUGGUAGUCCCCGAAUCCUUUAGGAUUGGACUGUUUCAUCAGCUCAAGUCUUUUUAAGGCGGUCUGACAUGCGUUCUAAAAACAAAUAGAGAAAAGCAAUAUUAUAAGGCUUGAAAAGACAGCAUGUAGUAUUAAGAACACUUUAAAGUCUCAAAGAAUUUUAAUAAUAAAUCAAUAUUUCCUUUAGGACUUUGGCACAUAUAUAAAGGAACAAAGCUCACUAGCAGAUGGCUUGUUGAGUAGGAGAAACGUAAACUGAAAAGAAUUUUAAAACAGAUUAUGCUGAUAGAAGAGAGGAAUCCCAAAUACAGCAUAGAAGUUCCCAGACCAUUUCACAGAAUACCUUAAAUCCACUUGUUUAUACAGGAACUUUACCAACUAGCAGUGGGUCACCCUAACACGUGUAGCAAGGUGAGCUCCUAACAUUGAACAAAAUCCUUGCUGAAAUUCAGCCUACUCAAGCAAGCUGUGCAGAAAAAUAAAACCUGCCUGAAAUACUUCAAUUUUUUACUUUUGCUUCAAACUUGAGGAUGACCAGGACUAAGUUCUCCUUUUCAAUGGAAAUGUCAUAUGCCCUAUAAAUAGAUGCCUUGAUAACUCCACCCCACGUCAGAGACAACUAUGAUGAUGCCAUUGCUACGGAGAUACUUGCUCUAAGUAUAUAACGCCUAGAGGUCUUUGGCUCCACAGCAUAAGCCACAAACCACCUGCAAGUAACAUUGUGCUUCAAGUGUAAGAUCUUGUUAAUUACUAAGAUAGUCAGCCAUUUAAAUGGAUAAUUGUUCUGUUCAUUCUGAACAAUCACAAAGACUCCAUUUUAUGACUACAAAAAGAUUGAAUGAGAAAGAAAAAGUAUAAGAACAAAAUAUGGCCACUUGUUAUCUAACACCCCCUGAUAGUUAUAGAAGUUCUGGGAUACCUUUUGCCUGCAAAGCUCUUUCUAAAGUUGUUUUCCUUAAGCAAUAGAUAAAUACACAGCAAGUUAUCAUCUUCUUGAGCCCCAGCUUAAGAUCCAGUAGCCUUAAUAAAUUGCUAUCAGUACAUAGAUGGUCACUGCAUUGAUAUCCACACUUACAGAUCCAGCUGUUGGGGAGGUAUUUGGGAUAGUGUUCAUGAUGGUCUAACUGACAUAAAUUUUGGAGGUGGAGAUUCUCAGCAACCUGCUAGCAAUCUGCAGAGCAAAGAAAAACGAUCGAUAAGUGGCUCUUCUUAUAGAGGAGCAUGAUCAUUCACUGCCUACACUGCCAGGGUUCACACUGCAACUUCCACCCUCUUCCAGUGAAAAGUUUCUCUUUCCUUGGAGACUCAGUUGACCUCAUGUCUACAUGGGGCAAACUUAGCAAUUUUCUGGCUAGUUCUCAAGCACAACAUGAAUACAUGUGCACACUUUUGCCAAAACAACAGGCAUUCACUUCAUUAUUGUGAGACCAAGUUCUUCUCUCAAUUACAAGAGUCUCAGAGGAUUAAGAGCCCUACUAGAUUUUCCAUUUAUUUUCAAGAAAAAGCAUGGUUGUUCUUAGGCCUUUUUACCUAUUAAGAUAUUAAAGUAUACAGAUAAAUGCAAUGUGACAAAUAUACCAAAUACACAAACUGUACUUUCAUGGGACGAAAAUAAAUUGCUUUAAGGUUAGACUGUAACCAUAACUUGCAUUAUCUACCUACAAGAUGAGAAUUCUAAUUCUCCUGCUCAGAUGCAGUAGUACUUUGAAAACCCAGCUGCUGAAACAGUUAAGAGGAAUUAAUUAUGAUUUGUUACCCUAGAUGUGCACCCAGCAGCAGUGUCAAGCUGCCUGAGAGAAUGCUACAGAUUGAGUGUAAUUUGCCUUAAAAGAUGCCUCAUUUGUUAAAGUCCAAGCUCAUUACUACCUGGAUCAUUCUGGUGUGAAGUCCUUGACCCAUCUCAGUCCCACCACAUGUUAAGUGACACAGAGCCAUCUGUGUGUGUGUAUACAUACAUACAUACAUAUAUAUAUAUAUAUAUGAACCAGAGCUCCAGCGUAUAAAAGGGAAUAUUAAUCCAAUUAACCAUAAACAAACCAGUGAAGUGUCUAGCAGACCUUGCUUACAAAUUACAGAGAGAAUGAAUGUUCUUUGGUGUACCUAGUGGCUUUAGCCACUAGUAUACAAGUGAGGUGAAUUUGGUUCAGUAUCUGCAACUCUGUAGAAGGUGACUUGGCAAACCUCAGCCAAUAUUUUCAGCUGAGAAUGUAGGUGAAGUAACCCUAAUAUGCCUCUGAAACAGAGGUGCACUAUUCACCUGAACUUGCCAAUGCCACUGACACUCCAUCAAGUCAGGUUAAACAUAGGAACAAAGAUGUCAUUUUUCAGUGUCAGAGUAUUUCUACUACUGAUGAAGAGGGAAUAUACAGGGAAACAAACGCAAUACAAACAAUGGAAACUUAACUGCAUUGUGUUUGGGUUUUUUUCUGGACAAAGAAGAAAGUCAGAGAGGCAGCAUAAAUCUUACACCUCUACUGAAAAGAUGAUUUACCAACCUGGCUCAGAAAUGGGACAGUGUGGCUGGUGCCAAAUUUGGUGGGAAUAAUACACAUCCCUCUUUUUCCAGCAAUUCUGCCUGCAAGGAAAAAUAUUUGCAUGCUCAUAAGGCUUUCAUUGCAACUCAGUGUCAUGCUUCCCUCUGACAGAUUGGGUAUCAAAGCAGAAGUGAAAUACGUGAAUGCAGCACAGACUGAGUGCAAUAGACUACAUUAAUCACUGAUUUUUAAAAAAGAAUGGUUUUGUUUAUGAGUCUCUGCAAGAAAAAAUCUGAAUUGAGGAUGCCCCCCUAGGUAUUAGAAAAGCAAUUGCCUGGUUAUUAGAUACUCAGUUGUGAAUAUAAGCCAACUCAGAGAGAUGUUAAAGAGAUGGAAAGCCUACACAAACUGUCCUGAUAGUCAUGUAAAAAUUCAAGCAAAGACUAUACUUUACAGACCCUUCUUCUCUGCUACAUUUCCCUCUCUUAAAAGAUAACAUUAUGCUAGGCCUAAUUCCUGCCUUAUUUAAGAUACCAAGUCGCUGAGAGAAGUUUCUUCACGCAGUGGACCUGAAGGAAUUUAUUUAAAAGAAAUGUUUGGAAGUUGUUUUGCAAAUAUAUGGACUAACUUCACAUCACUCAAGCUGCUAAGACAACUCCAGAAGUUAGAAAUCCAAUUAGUUUCUUCCUGAUGUGAUAGCUAGAGCUUGUCAAACACUCAUCCUGACAUUGUGAUGGAGUAAAUCCCUCCAAUAUUUGGUUAAAAUGAAUCAGGUCUUCAUUAUAAAGAUUGAGUUGCUGUACCUUCCCAAAGAAACAUAUAAAAGACGUGCCAAAUGUAAUGUUGUAGACUAGGUCCAUUUAAAAGAUGACAGCAAAAGCACACUGAUUCCUUGUCUUUUCUUUUCUGUUCAGCCUGCAGAGCAUUAGAAUUAACAGAUAUAAAUCCAUUUAUGGGAAAAAGGGACAUUUGACAUGAAGGCCAGAAAUUUUCAAGAGACUAAGAAAUAAGAUGAAGUUGCCUAGUGCCUUUGGGCUUUUUCUGAAUAUCUAGUUGUAAAACAGGUGUUAAACAAUUGAGGCUACUGAGAGAAUUCAAGGAAGCAGAAGACAAUCCAUGUCACAAUAGGACACUCACAGAACAAACUGGAGAUUCUGCUAAGGGUUUAGCAAAAAUGACACAAGAGCUCUUAUGCUCCAUAAUUUUCUGGAAUUUUGUUCAGUUCUCAGAACACGUUCAAAGGCAGGACUGAUCUGAAAUGUAUCAGUGAAUCUGUACCUCCUCCUCAGAUGGCAGGCCACAUUUCUGAGCAAGGUCACUCAUCCAGCACUCACUCAUCAUCCCCUGAGGACCUCCAAAGCCAUGGAAAGCUGUGCUGGAUGGUAAGUUGGUCUUUCAGACAAAGCCCACACUGCUGACGCUGAGGAUGUGGUAGGAGUUAUCCAGGUAAAACAGGGCUCUAUCCAUGGAGGUGUACACAUUUUACAUGAAUUAUAUGACAGGCUUCCAACUAGCUGCCAAAGCCAGUCUGAAAAGGUCUGAAGCUAAUUUACGACAAGAGUACUUUCUCUUCUACAUAAUCUAUAUUCUAGAAAACUGAAAAUUAGAGAGAAUUUUUAUUUAUACAUAUCACUCACUUGAUUACCUACAUGGGAGAGGCAUUAAUGGAUAUAGAAAGUAAUCUUUAAUCUAGAUUUUCUCCCUCAUACCAUCUUUAUUAGUAUAUUGGAGUUCCCACUCACUUAGCAGGUAUUCUGCAUCAUUUUUGCUCACUCUGUCAGUGUGUAGAACAGCACUCAUUCCAGGGAUCCAAGCUGGUGCUAGUAUCACUGGAUGCAACAUGUCUUUUAACCUCAUCUCAAUACCUUAAGGAAAAGUAAGACUCCUUCAGCAACAUGUAGGUGACAGAGAGCCUAAGUCAACCAUUUCCCAGGGAAGUGGCAGGUAAACUGUCAAUAAGUCAGUUCAUUGACCAUCUAGCAUAUGGAGAAUGUACAAUCAAAGAUACCAAACUAAAAUCUGUUUUCCACUAAUACCAGAAUUUUCAUAGGGAAAUUCUAGAUACAUUUUUUCUAGGCUAUUUAGUACUUGUAUGACCUGGCUAUUGGUAUACACAUUCCUUCAGGAAAGAAUUAACAUAAUGAACAAGACAAAGCUGAGGGAUUGUCUCCUGAAUCAACUGGUCAGAAUAAUAGAAUUAUUCCAUGUGUCUUAACUCUCUCUCAUUCCUCGUGCAUGAGGAAGUAUACAUUCAGGGGGAAAACAUGCCAGAUUUCAAGGCAUAAGAGUUUACUUUACUUAACUUCGUGUCUUGGCCAUCUGAGUGUGCAUUCUGAAAAUGACAACUUAUGCUUUGUCAGAAAAAAUACAUUAAAAAAAUCAUAUAAAGCAAUAUCUGGCACAUCAAGGACCUAGAUCUGUCCCUAUUUUGUUUCACACUCUGUCAGAUUGCAAAGGAUAUAGGAUUUUCUUCUGGAAGGGAUCAUACUUGGAUAUCAUAACAGCACAAGCAACACAUCCACCUUCCCCACAGCCCAGUUUGGUUCCAUGGAGGCCCACUGAGAAUACAGGAAUCAAGGAAAACAUGAAAAAUGCUGGCAGAAGCCUGCUCAAACAGUUGUCAAUCAAGUCUUCACAAAAUUUUUUUUCUGGAAACCAAGCACUCAUUUUUCCUGCUCAAUAAAUAAUUUAAUAUAGGUGAAGUCUUAAAUGCCGACACGUGAUCUUUGGGAUCUACAUCCCAGAACAUUUUAAGGACUCCUGAUUACCUCCUCUGACAAUAUUUGUAUUCAGUAUUAGCAAGCUUAGGCAAAGGUGUAGCAGUGAGAAGCACACACAGGCAGAAGAGACAGGCCAUUUGUUUUUCCUCUUCAACUUGAUCUACGCAAGAUACAGUCAAAGUAGGGCUGCUGAUAGUUCUCCUGGAAACCUCAGAGAGGAGCGUGAUUUAUAUCCUUCCUAUAUAUCCUUAUCUCCAACUCCAGAUGUAGCAGCAAAGGUGAAAUAAGUAUGCACAAUUCUUUUUAAGGAGUAUACCAACACUAAUACGAACACUCCACAGUAUGUCCACUCCCAGCUGAUUCAGACAAAGUCUCAUUAAACAUGGCAUGACGCUACUCACUGAACUAGGUCUAGCAGAGCCAGUCUAGUAAGCAUGGCAAUAGCUACCCAGCUCCCAAAACAAAGCUGACUGGCAUGCGACCAGCUUCACACAAUACUCAAAUGUGACUGGUUGCAUCCACUCACAUAAACACACCCAUAAUACAUGACAAACCUGUGCCUCCACGUGUACAUCCACAAAUCAUCCUAACUUCACCUAUAAUAAGCACAACACAAGAGAAUCAAAUUAUUGGCUACUACCUACCCAGAAACAUCCAAAUUGCUGGAUGACAAAGCAAGCAAUCCAAGUGUUUUGGGCAGAAAACUCUUUACACAUAUUGGCCUUCUUUUGGCCAGUUGGCUCAGAUGAAGUACAUAGGCUCCUCUGCAGCAGUUUGGCAAAUAGGCAUGUAAUUUCCCCAUCACCACAACAACAACAAAAAAAACCCAACCAAACAACAACCCAACAAUCUGUGGUUACUUUCCCCUCGGAAAAUGGGCACAGGCACAUCACAAGCUUUCCCCAGCAGUUAUCCUUGACACCGAGUUUCUUCCCCAUGGCUGUGGCAAUGACCAUUGCAAACCCUUUCAAACCAGUUCCCAAGACAACAAGGAACACAAAAAGCUUCAGGACAGUUUCCUAGGUGGGUAAAGGCUAUAUUGUUUUCUAUGCUUAGAUCAAAGAAAACAAAGAAAGUUUCCUGAAAAUUUCCAAAAGCAUUCCAUUACGUACUCCAACCGAGCAACUGAAGGUCUGGCCAAAUGUCUCCUUGCCUGGAAGCUUUCAAUAAGAAAUAAAACACAAGCUGAAGUCUUCAUUCAGUGAAGGAUUUAAAACACUCAGCUUCAUCCACGUUCAGUGAAGUACUUCAACAUGUGCUAAGUCCCAUCAGAGUAAAAUCUUAGCUUAACUUCAUCAAGAAAUGGUUACCACUAUGUAGAACAUGUUGUGAAUAAUCCAUGCUUUUAUACUAGCCAAACUAAGAGCCCAGUUCCCUACUUCAGCAACUUCAAACCACUCCACUGUAGCUGGCAGAGCCUUGGGAUCAGAGGGAGGUAAGAGGUAAGAGUUUGGAGGACAUCCUGGAUUAAACUCAGUCUCACAAACAAGGUCACAGUCAUUUCUCUGCGCUCACAGUCCUGCUGGAGCCAUGUUUACUUAUGAGUCUUUUUUGCAGAUCAUACUGUAAGAUCCCUCUCUCCUGGAGAGCAGCUCUGUGGAGGAAGACCUGAGGGUCUUGAUGGACAACAGUGGGAGGUGGGAGGCAAAUGGAUGGGGCCAGGCUCUUCUCAGUGGUGCAUAGAGAUAGGACAAGGAGUAAUGGCCUAGAACUUGCACAUAGGAGGUUCCAUAUAAACACGCAGAAGAUGGUAAGGGUGAUGGAGCACUGGAACAGGCUGCCCAGAGAGGUUCUGGAGACUCCUUCUAUGGAGAUAUUUGAGACCCAGCUGGACACUUACCUGUUUGACCUACUGGAAGGUUCCAGGAGGGAACCUGCUUCAGCAGAAUAUUGGGCUCUAUGAUCUCUUGAGGUCUCUUCCAACCCCUAUGAUUCUUUGAUUUUUUUUUUCUUAUACUGCCCCUGCCUUUUACUCAUUGUUGAUUGGCUAGAUUUGUCCUUCAAACAUAUCAUUCCUCCAGUGGUUUGUUACACCUACCUGCUGUGAUUUGUUCCUAAAUUAUUUUAAAACCCAUUGGGUGGAGACAUUAUCUUUUGCCUGAUUCCCAGAACAGGAUCCAGAGCUCUAUAUCUAUCUAAUCCAUCAAAACAACUCUUGCUCACUUCCCUCUGUGUCCCUAUACAAGAAGGGUUUGAAUUAUGCCCAUUGCCUUCAGUGGGACUAUGAUCAGCCUUUCUAAAUAUUACUAUUAAAAAAACAAGAUUUUUUCUUUGCACAGUUACUGAUUUGUUUUGCUACUAUAAAUUUUGUACUACAGUAUAUUAAAAUUUAUUUCCUACUCGCACUCCCAUUUUGUGGACUGUUCCAGAGAGGUGUUAAUCUCAUUUCCCCAUGAUUUAAACGUACAAAAUUUGGAUCUCAAUAAUCAAUUUCCAUUUGCUAACUUACCUAUGCCCUCAGAUGAGGAGUGGAUGCACAGAGGCAGCUGGGCUUCCUGUUCUCUUCUCCUGCCCUCAGUGGAACUGGGAUCAUGCAGAGAAACAUCAGACAUUUACCAGAUAUCAGCCCCCCACACAGUGCUUAUUGCCCCCUAUUUAACACCCUUCCAUGUGCUACUCUUCCACACCAUACAGUGCCCCCACUGUGCUUGUCCCUCUCUCCUAUGUAACAUCUCCCAUGUAACCCACGUACUGCACGACUCCUCUGAUAUUACACUGCCCCCCAUAUUACCUCCAUGCACAAGGACCUUUUCUGAAGAAGCAUACCAUGAAUGAAGAGCCUCAUUUUACAGCCCUAUGCUGAACUGACACAGCAGCACAACCUCAGCACCCUCCAAAAAUACACUCCCAUUGUUCCAAACAAGUGUCACACUGAUGCACAUCUGACCAUAAUUGUUCUGUAUGCCAAACUGUUUUAAGCACGUCCUAUGCAUAGACAAAGUCAUGCCUCUGUAAAUAAUCCUACAAGAUACACCCACCUACACUAUAGAGCCCAAACACCUGUAUGCCUCCUCCAAGCAACACUCACCACCUCUGUACAAUGCACAUUGAAAUAUAUGAUCCUCCUUACAACAAUAUAUGAUCCUCUACAUAAUGCCUCGCCAAAUAACCUCAGUGUUACAGGUGGAACUCCAUUCCACAGUCACAGCACUGUGAAGAUGCACAUUGUACAGACCAAUAAAUAACUGAGACCACGUGCUCCACUCUCGUUCUUUUGCUGCUCAGAGCUCCUGUCAUCACUUUCUUUUCUAGGCAGCAGCAACAGCUUCUGGCAAAAAAGAUUUGGAGAAGGGGAUAUGUUGCUUACAGAUUUCCCCAAGAAAUCAGAUAAUAUUUUUCUAAGGAAAAAGGAUGUUCCUGAUGCUUCCUAAAACACUAAGCAGUUCACUUACCUCCUGCUUACUCACCUCAAGGUUUUAGCAGAGUACCUUCUUUAUUCUACAGAGGACUAAGGUUGCGUUCAGUCAUUGAAGCCCCUUGCCAGCUGGCCUUACCACAUGGAAGCAGCAUUGCAAUAUCCAUGCUUGCCAACCCAGCAAAUGCAGCCUGCCUCAGGUGGAUGUGAAGGAAUCUGCUGAGAAAUUAAUCUGACCAGGGAAACCCAGUGGUUACCCCCAGCCCAGGUCUCCCUUCCCUUGGAAAGACUCCAAGUUCAGGCUUAGAGAAGGGAUCUCCAUCUCCUACCACCAUGAUGAUAAAAUGUGAAAUGCUCACCAGUACAAAGCAUUACAAUUUAACAUAGAAUUUGCCAAACAAUUAAUAUUCUGCUUGCUCCCUUGCUCCAUCUAGCUGAAUAAAAUAAUUUCGUGUCAAUCUAAAAGUAAAAUGGAACCUUUCCUUUUUUUAGAAAAUGUGCUCUUUCUUUAUGUAUAAUACACUCCAGUGAUCAUAUUCUCAUUUUAAUAGGCAAGGCUGCUGUUUUCAAAAAUGUAGGGUAAUUUCUCAACAAAUAAAGAUAGAUUUGGCCCAGGUUCCUACACCUCUGAGUUUUACAGAAACCAAUGCCUGCUGUUGCAUGAGGAUGGUGUUGCACCCCUGUGAGUGCAUACAAAGAAGUUUUUUGUCUCAGAAGUUGCUUGAGAGGCCUGUGGGACACUCUAAAGGACUCCCUGCUGCCUACACGUGGUUGCCAGGGGCAACAAAGAUAAGGGGAGGAUCCCAGCUCACAUUCUGCUUCCGAGAUGGAUGGAAGUGACCCUAAGAUGAGGGGCCCUGGCUGCACAGGGGUAGAUAAGGCUGCGCAGUAGUG
This is a non-coding RNA of Meleagris gallopavo (turkey), 16280 nucleotides long. NCBI's taxonomy places the organism in Eukaryota, Metazoa, Chordata, Aves, Galliformes, Phasianidae. The record is from RefSeq and is a predicted model, not a curated record.